AAGAAAAUUAAAAACUAUAAAAAAUUAUUUAAACAUACUUGAAAUAAAUAUAGUAUAAGAAUGAAAAUUGUAAUUUAGGAAUGUAAUUUAUGAUAUGUGCAAAUACUCUGUAUGUAUAUACUAUGUAUGGCUUGAUCAUACAUAUAUAUCAAUCAUUUCUUUACAUUUAAAUCAGUCACUGUGUAAUCCCAUUCAGUAAUCAAAAACUUAUUUACAGGGUAUCUCAUAGUCAUCUAUGCACUAGUUCAGCUGCGCUCUUGGUCAUUUUCGCAGUCAUUAGCGUUUGUCAGAUAAAAUAUUAAUGAGCACUCACUGAAUUUUAAAUGUCGCUCAGUGGCAAAAACGCCGGGAUAAACUUGGCUGCCAGAUAAUGGGCUUUGAUUUAGUGGGGAAACACCCCACUUAAGUGGCUAUACGAAAAAAGAAAAGGAAAAAGGAAAGGAAAAAGUGUUGCUUACUUUGUAAAGCUGCAACAGAAUUGGCAAUAAACUCUUUGUAGCAUUUAACACCAUCGAAAGCCUUUAAGUUCUUUGAUGGGAUAAAAUGCUAACAGAUUUUUGUUGACAUCAACUCUCCAUUCAGUCUAUUGACAUAAAAAUGUAGAAAGCUAAUCAUUGGCUUCAGUGGUAAUACUAUCUACUACCUAUUUAUUUACUAACAGUAUUCGAAUAUUGGAAUAUUAUCUACUACUUUUCAACGACUGCCUUUUAGUUAUACUACAGUUUGAUAAAUACUACUACUACAGUUUUGAUAGCUACUACAAUUUUUGUAAUACUACUACUAUGACAGCUACUACUGCCAUGACUACUCUUACUCUUACUAUUACUAUUACUACUACUACUAUUUACAACAAGCUUCUUCUCACUUCUACUACCACUAGGCUAUACUAUUUAUCACGACUUUUAGAUUCUGCUACUCUUUUCUUCUAGCUUCUGCUACUAUUUACUAUUAUUAGCACUUACUACUAUUUACUACUACUUCUGGCGUUGACUACUAUUACUAGCUUCUCUAGCUCUACCGUCUACUACCAUUGACUAUAGUUUCCACUGGUAUUUAGUGCAACUAUUUCUUACUGCAAUCUACUAAUACCGGACUCUACUACCAACUACUACUGCUUGUAAUACUAUCUGUUACUAUUAUCUCCUUCUACCACAUUCUACUACUUUUCCUACUACUUUCUACUGAUUCUAGUUUUUUUCUGCUGUCUGCUUCUAAUAUUACUCUAUCGCAUAAUAAUACAACCAACUUUGACUAUUCCUAGUACUACAACGACUAUCUACUUGGUAUAAUAUCAGAUUUACAAUGUGUAAACCCUUUGGUUACAUUAAAAUUUACUUCUCAGCCCACUCAUGAAUAACCAAGUUUGUUCAAAUAAUAACAAAAGUUUCCUCUUCUUGCAAAAUUCAGCAUUAUAAUUGGAAUCUGAAUACAUUUGGCAAUAGCAACGCCAGGUUGCCACAAAUUGUGGCCAAAAAUUAUUCGUUGGCUUAGUUGCAGCGCUUGACUGCAUUUCCAAUUUCCCAAUUUGAUGCCAAUUGGGACAGGCAGACAGUCAGACAGACAGAUAUCUGUGCGGCUGGGCGUAAAGUGUGGCCAAAAUAGCCAAAAAGUUGAAAUGCCUGCGAAAACCAUGGAAAUUUUGCCAAUCAAUGGCAAUUCGAGAUGAGCCAAAACAUUUAGCCCGGCCUAGAGCUGAAGACCACAAAUGCGUGUGUAAAGCGUAAGGGUAAGAAGAGAGGGUUAUGCGGGGCUAGGGCUUGGGUGUGAGACACUCAAAACUUGUGCGCGCAACAAUCACAUAAAGUUUUAAUUAAUUUCCAACAAGCGAACAGCAAAGACAAACAAACAAAACUAAACGCAGCUAAAAGCCAACUUUAUGCGAAAUUUAUAGCUAAGAGCCAAGGGGGAUACAAUGAAGCGCGGCUCAAGUGGAUGAAAGCAUGUGGCACGCUUUGUCAACACAGUUUGUCAGCAGCGGAAACGCUGCUGUCACGUUUCAGACGGUUGCCAGCAUUUCCGUUUCCGACUCACGCACACAAUCCAAAACACUCUCACAUACGCAGAGAGGCAAACAAAGCUUGAGUGAGACCAGCCCAAAUAAAUAUUGCCGGCAAAUUGGCAUUGAGCAAAAAAAAAAAAAAAACUUAAGUGGCAUCCACAAAAAAAUAAGUAAAUACUAUGCUCAUUGCCAUUUGCACUCGAGCAGAACUUCACUCAAUACCCGCACAUUGUAAGCUUGCAAAAGCUCAUUUUGCUAUAGCAAACACAAAGCUAACGCAAAGCUUGCAACAGCUGGUUGUCGCUUUUGAGUGUUUCUUGUUUACAGUUUGCGCUCAAACUCAAAGCCGGUUUCGGCUGCGCUCGUUAUAGCUGUCUUUGUUGCGCUUGCAUACAUAUACAAAUUUCUUGACGAUAUUUUCCAUUCCAAAACUGUUCUUGUUGUUGUUUGGCUGGCUUACUAACGGUGCAUUCGUGCUCUUUGAGUCAUACGCAUGCUUUGCCUUUGUUCUGCAAAAAAAAAAAAAAAAAAAAAAAAAAAAAAAAACAAAACAUAAAAGAACAGGAAUUAGAGGUAAGGCAAAAACAGCUGCUCAGCAGUAAUUGAUGCAUUGAUAACAAGAUUUUAGGCAUUUUUUAGUAUAUUAUUUAUUAUAUUAAAUAAGUUAAAUAGAAUAUCGGUAUAAAAUACCUACACAUCUGAUUAUUAAAAAUAUGAGAAACAGAAAUUGUCAACCAUAAAUGGAAAAUUUUAAUACAAACUUCUUCACCAUUGAAAGAAAGCAAAGUAGUAAGUUUUUGUUUAUCUGGCAACCUGUUGCGUCUAGUCAGUAGCCACUGUUACUCCAAAAAGCUGCCAGAUUGGAGAUAGGCAGACAAAAUGUGCUUAUUUUCGAUUUACGACUUAUAUGCCUCUCUAUCUGCAGUCAGAGAGCGGCAAUCAAUUACGGCCAUGGUCAUAUUAGUACCAACAGCAACAGCAACAACAAUAGCGAUUGCCCAUUUCCCAGGUCACCAACACACAGAGACAGAGAAUGAGAGAGAUAUAUUGAGACUGAUAAGAAAUCUGGCAACACCAAAGCAAAAUUAACGCUAUCAACUGUUAAAUGUGAAUGUAAAUGUGAAUGCGAAUGCAACUGAAAAGGCGAGUAAAAACUACAAAAGACAACAAACUACAUAACACGCGCACACAUAGACACACUUAUAUGGCGUGCUAUUAUGUAGGAAGAGCGCACGCGAUAGAGACUAAGAGAGCGCGGCCAGCUGAAAUUCAUUAAUUGCUCGCCUUAACAAUGUAAAUAAUACGCAAAGCCAAAAGCGAACAAAAUCAAGUGCUCAAUGUUCUUUGAGCGUUUUGCUUUGUUUAUUUUAGGCGAAUUCGCCGCGCAGCGCAGUCGUCGCCGCCGCUGCCGUUCGUUGCGAUUGUGACUGGCACCGUAAUUUUGAGCACAACUCGUUUUUAGUAUCUCACAGAUAUUCGACGUGUUUGGUUGGCGCGACUGCAAAAGCGGCCCGAGAAAAGUGAUUUGAAAUAAAAGAAUAAAUAAUAAAGAAAGAAAAUUUAAUAAAAACAAAAAACUUUAAUGAUAUAACAAUUUAACAAAUUAAGAGUGUAAAUGAUUCAAAUCUUUUCGGGCAGAGUUUUGUAGAAAAAACCUCGAAUUCAUUGCGUAAAGUAAAUGCAAGAUGCGCGCGUCGUUUUUUUUGUCCGUUUUUUUCGUUUUGUUCUUCGCUAAAGCAAAUCUAAAAUAAAUAAAAAAAAAAAAAAAAAAAACAACUAAAACGUAAGCGAUCAACGGUCGCGUGCUCAUUCUGCUUCUUUCGUUUUGGCAAGUGUGCGUGCGUGCGUGUGUUGGUGUGUGUAAGGAGGUGUGAAAAUAUCUACAAAUCUAUCUAUCUUCGCGGCUGCGUAUAAUCAAAUAAUAGGCGCAAAAUUAUGCACAAGAAGAAAAAGAAAUAUUCGGCAAGCCGCUAAAAAUAAAUGCAAAUAGCGAAUAGAGUGUGAGCAAGUGCAAAAAGUUACAGCAAUAACAAAAGAAAGAAAGAAAGAAAAAAGAGUGUCCAAAGCGGAAUGCAAUUGUCUUGAAAGUGUCGCAAAACAAAGCUACAGUUCGAGCUCAUUAAUAUCAAACAAUUUUCAUAAUAAGUACAAAACUUGUUUUAAAUAAUAUAAACAAAUUUAUUAUGCAAGUGCAACAAAGUGUAAAACCAAACAGAAAUAAAAACAACAACGUGAACAACAACAACAACAGCAGCGUGAGCAACAAGAUAAACAAUAAACAAUACCAAAGUCAACAAAAUCUACAAAAAUUUGACAAAAGUCCACGGAGCGGCCCUUUGGCCACACUAAAGCCAACAAAAUUGAGUCCUCAACAACAACUAAACAAAA
Drosophila mojavensis is the source of this 4387-nucleotide long non-coding RNA. RefSeq lists it as uncharacterized. Lineage: Eukaryota; Metazoa; Arthropoda; Insecta; Diptera; Drosophilidae. The record is from RefSeq and is a predicted model, not a curated record. The transcript is spliced from 2 exons.